This 72-nucleotide transfer RNA is filed under the name Marmota marmota marmota (Alpine marmot). It matches the Rfam family "tRNA". From Rfam's summary of the family: Transfer RNA (tRNA) molecules are approximately 80 nucleotides in length. Their secondary structure includes four short double-helical elements and three loops (D, anti-codon, and T loops). The record is from Rfam by way of RNAcentral. Lineage: Eukaryota; Metazoa; Chordata; Mammalia; Rodentia; Sciuridae. RNAcentral also lists the same sequence under 1 other name.
UGGGUUGUGGCUCAGCGGUAGAGAGCUCACCUAGCAUGUGCAAGGCCCUGAGUUCGAUCCUCAGCACCACAU